UGUCAAUGAGGCGAGAGGUCAGUGUGAUCAGGUGGUGGCCCGACGCAGGUGUUUCUGGCGCCUGCGAUAAUGAACGAAGAUGAACGUUAUGAUUCAUUGUGUUGAUGAUGUGACCGAGAAAGAGCCUCUGCUCUGAUUCUGGUAACGCCGAGAUGCAGCAAUGUACAACAGGAAAACAGACAUCAUUCAUCAGGAAGUGUGUUAAAGUGAAGGCAGCUCCAAAGGACUUACAACAAGAUGGCCGACUGGCCGACUUGAACACAAUUCAAUUAGUUUUCACUUUUAAAAAGAAGAAAAAGGAAUAAAAUAAACUCAAAACAAUCCAUAAAUGGUCCAUCUAGAGUAUUCUUAUUUACAACAAAGCCCACAGCGCCUUCGUCAGCCCGUAGUUCUGUCUGUAUGUGCCAAGAGGAACCGUUCAGUCUGCACUGACUCGCUCCUGGGACGUCCCAGCAGGUGCUUUAUUAAAAUAACAACAGGAAACAAUUGUGACUGAACUGAUAAACCUUGUUUUAAA
This is a long non-coding RNA of Gasterosteus aculeatus aculeatus (three-spined stickleback), 517 nucleotides long. Lineage: Eukaryota; Metazoa; Chordata; Actinopteri; Perciformes; Gasterosteidae. The record is from Ensembl.